Molecule: ribosomal RNA, 580 nt
Filed under: Glomeromycotina sp.
Lineage: Eukaryota; Fungi; Glomeromycota
Description: eukaryotic LSU rRNA
Rfam family: Eukaryotic large subunit ribosomal RNA
Source: RNAcentral
CAAAUUUWAAAUCUACCUGGUUUYCAGGUCGAGUUGUAAUUUGAAGAUACGUUUUUGACGUUCCGGGUUGAACUAAAUCCUUUGGGAUAAGGUAUCAUGGAGGGUGAGAAUCCCGUAUAUACCAACCRYAGGGAUGUUAUUUAAUACGUUUCUAAGARUCGAGUUGUUUGGGAAUGCAGCUCUAAAUGGGUGGUAAAUUUCACCUAAUGCUAAAUAUAAGCGAGAGACCGAUAGCGAACAAGUACAGUGAUGGAAAGAUGAAAAGAACUUUGAAAAGAGAGUUAAAUAGUACGUGAAAUUGUUGAAAGGGAAACGAUUGAAGUCAGUCAUGCCRGUGGGAAUCAACUUAGAGGAAACUCUGAGUGCACUUCUUCGCUUGGCAGGUCAACGUCGAUUUUGGAUGUCAUAAAAUGAUUGGGGGAAGGKAGCUCCUUCGGGAGUGUUAUAGCCCUUGGUAGAUGUGAUGUCUGGGAUCGAGGAUUGCAAUGGAUACCCUUUGGGGCUAGCCGCCUGAUCUCUAAUYGGUAUUGGGUUACGGAUAGCAUGCUGACCGUGAUCUAAUUAUUGGUUAAAAGGUUAG